Molecule: ribosomal RNA, 465 nt
Filed under: uncultured bacterium
Lineage: Bacteria
Description: partial 16S ribosomal RNA
Rfam family: Bacterial small subunit ribosomal RNA
Source: RNAcentral
AGCGAACGCUGGCGGCAUGCCUAACACAUGCAAGUCGCACGGGUCGGCUUCGGCCGGUCAGUGGCGGACGGGUGCGGACCGCGUAGGGAUCUGUCCUCUGGUGGGGGAUAACCGCGGGAAACUGCGGCUAAGACCGCAUGGGGCGCCGGUGUGAGAGCCGGUGUCAAAGGCGCGCAUCGCGAGGUGCGGGUGGGCGGGGGGUGCGCCUGCGUCCGAUUAGCUGGUGGGCGGGGUUGUGGCCCACCUACGCGUCGAUCGGUAGCUGGUCUGAGAGGGUGAUCAGCCACACUGGGACUGAGACACGGCCCAGACUCCGACGGGAGGGAGCAGUGGGGAAUAUUAGACAAUGGGCGCAAGCCUGAUAAAGCAAUGCCGGGUGGGUGGAGAAGGUCUUCGGAUUGUAAAGCCCUUUGGGCGGGGACGAUGGUGACGGUACCCGCAGAAGAAGCCCCGGCUAACUUCGUG